RNAcentral lists this ribosomal RNA (458 nucleotides) under uncultured bacterium. RNAcentral's name for it is "partial 16S ribosomal RNA". It matches the Rfam family "Bacterial small subunit ribosomal RNA", at positions 338 to 795 of the family's 1533-position model. The record is from RNAcentral.
CCUACGGGUGGCAGCAGUGGGGAAUAUUGCACAAUGGGGGAAACCCUGAUGCAGCGACGCCGCGUGAGUGAAGAAGUAAUUCGUUACGUAAAGCUCUAUCAGCAGGGAAGAAACACUGACCUUACGGUCAGCAGACGGUACCUGAGUAAGAAGCCCCGGCUAACUACGUGCCAGCAGCCGCGGUAAUACGUAGGGGGCACGCGUUAUCCGGAUUUACUGGGUGUAAAGGGGGCGUAGACGGGGCGCCAAGUCUGGAGUGAAAUGCCGCAGCUUAACUGCGGAACUGCUUUGGAAACUGGCGAACUAGAGUGCGGGAGAGGUAAGCGGAAUUCCUAGUGUAGCGGUGAAAUGCGUAGAUAUUAGGAGGAACACCGGUGGCGAAGGUGGCUUACUGGACCGUAACUGACGUUGAGGCUCGAAAGCGUGGGGAGCAAACGGGAUUAGAUACCCUAGUAGUC